RNAcentral lists this ribosomal RNA (1172 nucleotides) under Conidiocarpus caucasicus. RNAcentral's name for it is "eukaryotic LSU rRNA". The stretch from base 526 to 1172 matches the Rfam family "Eukaryotic large subunit ribosomal RNA", at positions 1 to 667 of the family's 3401-position model. Lineage: Eukaryota; Fungi; Ascomycota; Dothideomycetes; Capnodiales; Capnodiaceae. The record is from RNAcentral.
CUUGGUCAUUUAGAGGAAAAAGUCGUAACAAGGUCUCCGUAGGUGAACCUGCGGAGGGAUCAUUAACGAGUUAGGGCCUCUGUGCCCGACCUCCAACCCUCUUGUAUCGAAAAACCUCGUUGCCUCGGGGGCGGCCCUGCCUCACGGCGGGCACCCCGGAGGACCACUCAAACACUGCAUUUCAAUGUCGUCUGAGUAAAGAUUUAAAUGAAAUCAAAACUUUCAACAACGGAUCUCUUGGUUCUGGCAUCGAUGAAGAACGCAGCGAAAUGCGAUAAGUAAUGUGAAUUGCAGAAUUCAGUGAAUCAUCGAAUCUUCGAACGCAUAUUGCGCCCCUUGGUAUUCCUUGGGGCACACCUGUUCGAGCGUCAUUUCACCAAUCAAGCCUCGCUUGGUGUUGGGCGAUGCGCAAGCCGCACGCCUCAAAUGCCCCGGCCGAGCAGUCUCUCCCCCGGCGUCGUGGAAACAUACCGCUACGGGGACGCGACCUGCGCGUGCCGCAACAAGACCUUCCCUCUCUAAGGUUGACCUCGGAUCAGGUGGGGAUACCCGCUGAACUUAAGCAUAUCAAUAAGCGGAGGAAAAGAAACCAACAGGGAUUGCCCUAGUAACGGCGAGUGAAGCGGCAACAGCUCAGAUUUGAAAUCUGGCGUCUUUGGCGUCCGAGUUGUAAUCUGUAGAGGAUGCUUUUGGGUAGCCACCGGUCUAAGUCCCCUGGAACGGGGCGUCACAGAGGGUGAGAAUCCCGUAUGUGACCGGAAGGGCGCCCUCUACAUAGCUCCUUCGACGAGUCGAGUUGUUUGGGAAUGCAGCUCUAAAUGGGAGGUAAAUUCCUUCUAAAGCUAAAUACCGGCCAGAGACCGAUAGCGCACAAGUAGAGUGAUCGAAAGAUGAAAAGCACUUUGGAAAGAGAGUUAAAAAGCACGUGAAAUUGUUGAAAGGGAAGCGCUUGCAACCAGACUUGUUGGCGGUGUUCCGCCGGUCUUCUGACCGGUUUACUCACCGUCUGCAGGCCAGCAUCAUCUGGGGCCGCUGGAUAAAAGCGAGGGGAAUGUGGCUCCCCCGGGAGUGUUAUAGCCCCUCGUGCAAUACAGCGAGCCUCGGGUGAGGUCCGCGCUUCGGCUAGGAUGCUGGCGUAAUGGUCGUAAGCGGCCCGUCUUGAAACACGGACC